Molecule: long non-coding RNA, 6267 nt
Filed under: Citrus sinensis (sweet orange)
Lineage: Eukaryota; Viridiplantae; Streptophyta; Magnoliopsida; Sapindales; Rutaceae
Description: long non-coding RNA (CSIN_LNC002619)
Source: RNAcentral
UGCGAUCCUGAAGACGAGGAUCGAGACAAGACUCAAGCCUUAAAAUAUAAACUCGCCGCAAUCGCUUCGAUACUCGUGGCCGGAGCCAUUGGAGUUUACCUUCCGGUCCUCGGAAAAACUAUCCCGGCACUAAGUCCGGAGAGAAAGAUUUUCUUCCUAAUCAAGGCCUUUGCCGCCGGAGUUAUAUUAUCAACUGGGUUCGUCCACGUGCUUCCCGACGCCUUCGAGAACUUAACGUCGCCCUGCCUCGAUGAACACCCAUGGGGGGAUUUUCCGUUCACCGGAUUUGCUGCCAUGGUUGCUGCUAUCGGGACUCUGAUGAUUGAUGCUUUUGCAACUUCUUAUGCGACUUCUUAUUAUCGCAAGUCUCACUUUGGUGAAGCGGAGGAUAACGUAUCAGAUGAAGAGAAAGUUGGGGAGCAUGCAGGUCACGUGCAUGUUCAUACUCAUGCAACUCAUGGCCAUGCUCAUGGAUCUAUUGAAUAUGCUGGUGAAUCGGAGCUUCUACGACACCGUGUCAUAUCUCUGGUUAUAAUUUAUUUAUUUAUUUUUUAAAUUUUCAUGCAUAUAUAAAACGCUGGUGAAUUUUUAAUUAUAUUGGUAAAUUAAUUAAUCUAUUUUUUUUUAAGUUUCAUUUUGGGUUAUUUUUUUCGUUAGGUUUUGGAGUUGGGAAUUCUUGUGCACUCGGUAAUCAUUGGAAUUUCAUUGGGUACUUCUGAGAGUCCAAAAACUAUUAAGCCUUUGGUUGCAGCGUUGACUUUUCAUCAAUUCUUUGAAGGAAUGGGUCUUGGUGGUUGCAUUACGCAGGUAAUUGAUAUUUUCUAUUUAUGAUUCCAUUUUUUUAAUUAUUAUUUUUACUUUGUAAGUUUUAAUUAAGAUGCUUGAUACAUGGUGCUAACUAGCCAUAAGAAUCAAUUAUCAAAGCACUUUUAUUUUGGAAAACUCUUUUUUUUUUUUUUUUUUUGGUUAGAAAAAGGAAAAAACUUAUUUGAAGUUUUAAAAUUCUCUGUUUUUUUUUUUACGCUGUUGACUAUAUGUGUGUACACAUAUGUAAUACUAAAGUCUUUUUGUGACAAUAUCCACCUAUGUACGUACAAUCAAGUGGACAAUAUGGCUCCAAAUUUCAUUAGUAAUUGAUGUUAACAAUUUUGUUUUAACGUGUUCGUUUUUAUAGGCAAAAUUCAAGUCUCGAGGAGUCGCAAUAUUGGCCUUUUUCUUCUCUUUGACAACCCCAGCCGGGAUAGCAAUAGGCAUUGGAAUAUCAAGUUUUUAUGACGAAAAUGACCCCACUGCUCUUAUUGUUGAAGGGAUAUUCAAUGCAGCAGCAGCUGGAAUCCUAAUAUACAUGUCCUUGGUGGAUCUUCUUGCUGCAGAUUUUAUGAAUCCGAAGAUGCAAGACAAUAAAAGGCUUCAAUUUGGAGCACAUGUUUCUCUUCUUUUAGGAGCUGGUUGCAUGUCCUUGUUAGCCAAAUGGGCUUAAAAAUCAUAGAUAUUUUUUCUGCAAUUUUUGUUUAUCCAAUAGUUUAAUUUGCGGCAGUUUUUGUACAGACAUUUUGAUGGAUGUUUACUAUCUGUAAAAUAACUUAAAUUGAUUAGGGUUAAGUGUAGCGUUUUAAAAUUUAAAGAGGGUAAGUGUCAUAACUCAUUUGAUUUUGGGUGUGAAUCUUUGUAACUUAUAUUUGAAGGGAUCUGUAAUUUUUCCUUGUACAUAUUUUAUUUUAUUUUUGACUAAAGAUCAUUACUCGACGGUGAGCUUUAAAUAAUAAAUUCUACAAAGCCCCUGCCAAAAAGGGGGUAAAAAACAAAAGGAAAGAAAAGAAAAGCUAUGAACUAAUUUGAAAAGAAGAUGAUAAAGAUCAUGGUGAUGAUAUUGACUCAAUUGAGGAAGAAAACUCAAACUCGUAGUGUUUAUCGAUGGCCAUUGAUACAUCAAUAUUACACAUCAAUGUAUGUAUAUACAUACGCACAUCAAUAUUGCUAUGUUUGCAAGUUUAUAAUAAAAAAUAAUUUUGGUAUUCGACCCAAUGUGUUCUUAUAAGAAAAUGACACAUGUCAAAUGAUUACUUAUAUUUUCACUUUCACUUGGUGGUUUGUAUGAACACUUUGUAUAUGCUGUUUUAAUAUCAAAUAUUUCAUAUUAGUUGGGUAUAACCGUAUAAAUUUUAUAUUUUAACUAUACAUAAUUAUAGACUUGAGUGGAAAAUAUAGAUUUAGUUGGUCUUUUAGUGAAAAUAAGGGUAUUACAAACAUUGUCCUUCAUAUGGCAAGCUAGAACAAUAUAUGAAUGGGUCGACGAGGUUAAGUCAAGAGAAACCUAAAAACGCAAGCUGGUUGAAGCCAGCCACUUGCUACUUGCUACUGCCAAAAGAGAGGGAAAACGACAUCGUAAUCCACUAGGUACGGACUACUAAUUAAUUAGCUCAGUUGUCUCCUUUUACUUCCAAAAACGUCCAAACUCAUCUUGUAAAACUUUCAAUAUUCUGAAUUUUGAUUCCUUAAUUUUACUUAAGAAUUUGGUCUUUAUCUAAGUUUUAAAUAAAGUGUUUUAAUAAGUUAUAAAAAAUAAGGGUAAAAGCUCGUUUAAUCCCUAUAUUUUGAAGUUAGUGCCCGUUUAGUCCCUAUAUUUUUAAAAAUACCUCAAACCAUCCCUACCAUUAAAUUAUUGACACUUUUGCCAUUAUCUUUUGUUCCUUUUAACUUAUUUUUAUAAUAUUACCCUAUUAUAAUAAUUUUUUAGACAUUAUUAAAAAGAAAAAAAUAACCCUUUUUUGUUUUUAUUUUAUUUUUGAGUUUAAUUUGAUAAUUUAAUUUUUUAUUAAUAUCCAAAAAAGAAACAUUAUUGUAAAAAUGUAAUAUUGUAAAAGCAAGUUAAAAAUAAUAAAAAAUAAUGGCAUAAGUGUCAAUAUUUAGUAGCAGGGAUGUUUUGAGGUGUUUUUAAAAAUACAGGGACUAAAUGAACACUAACCUCAUAAUAUAGGGACUAAACAAGCUUUUACCCAAAAAAUAAUUAUCAUUUCUCAUAAUUUCAGGGGCAUUCCGAGAAUCGAACUCGGGACCUCUCGCACCCAAAGCGAGAAUCAUACCACUAGACCAAAUGCCCAGCGACAAAGUGAAACUUCCUUACAAAAUAUUAAUCUUAUUUCUAAAUUGAAGUCAUUACACACGCCUUCAUACUUCUUCGUUUCCAUUAAUAAGAAUUUGACUGAGAGAAUGGUGGCAAUUUGAUUCCAUGCAAACAGUCUGAUGGAUGAUCACGACAAAGGUGAAAUUGUUUCUGAGUAAAACUUGGAACAAAACUUGACACGUACAUGAACACAGAGAGUCAAAUUAACAAGCUAGCCAACAUCCAAAAUGGCCUACAAAUUCAUAACAAAACGACAUGGGGAUUUGCCACUUGCCAGAUUCCAAUCUCUAGACAAUGCACACAUCUUUUGGUUGAAACUCGAGCUCUGUUAAAAUAUCUUUUUGUUAAAUAUCUCAAGCUCUGCCAAGGGAGUUGACGUUCAAUCGUUAUCUAAUUCCUAUAUACGUUUCACGUCUCAGGAGCUGAACUAAAGGAUUCAAGUAUAAGAAUAGUAUGUAAUUAUUAAGAUCGUUAACACGUACAAACAUUGCCGAUACUACGAUCAUCAAAUCUGAUUUCAUACUUAACAAAUUAAUUAUUUAUUUAACAAAUUAAUUAGUACCCUAAUUAAUAACUUGAUCAGUGCGGAUAUGAUUUAUGAAACCACGGGGCAACAAAUUGACUACAAGGUAAUAACAUUAAAUGUUGGACUAGUAGCCUGUUACCAUUCAUUCAUUUUUUAUUUUUUUUAACAUUCAUAUAUAAUAUUUAAUAUGAUAUUAAUACAACAUGAUCCCAUGUUACAAGUUAAUUUCAGCAUCAUUGUUAUAGUUUUCAUGUUCGACCUUACAAGCAAACUCCUGAGUCUAUUCAUAUGAGGUGCAAGUGCAAGUAUGCAACUGGCAGAGCUUGAAAAACUUUUUGAGGUUCAUGGUCCUAUGAUAAAGUUAUCAAAAGUAAUUGACAUUAUGCUCUUUAUUUAAUUCUUCUAUAAACUUAUGUCAAAUAAUAGAACCUUAGGAGGGACCCAAUUGGCCAAAUCCCAUCACAGUCUCACAACUGGUCCUGAAGCUUUCUUUUACAUGAACUGCUUAGAAGCAUUUCAGAAUUUUCCUUACCUUUUCUCCUGAAUGAUUUAAGGAAUAAUUGAAAUUAAAAUUGAAUAAUUUUCGUUGCCUUUUUAUCCCAAAAUGGUAUAUUUUCUUGAAUCCAAAACCAGUUUGAAUAUUGAUAUUUGAUGCAGCCCCUUGUAACUACAAAAUAAGAUUUUAGGGUAAAAAACUUUUAAUUAGUUAGGCUAGGGUUUUAUUUUUGACAUAUAUUUUAUUGUUUAAAAGGGAAAACAAAGAAUUAAAUAUAACGUCAUGUUACCCACGAUUUGAUACAAGGAUGAUGAUCCUCUUCUGAUUUGAGCACACCUGAUCUUUUACAGAUCUUGUGUCAUUUGUAUUUUAAUGUUAGUGUAUAAUUAUAAUUUAACUACUUUUUCUUUUUAAUUUAUUAACCACCAAUCAUGUUAAUAAAAUUUACUCAUAAAAAGAUCAGAUCAUGAGAAAAUCUCAAUCCUUGAUACAACUCUCCUUUUUUUUUUUUAAUAUACUUCACACUUUGUAUAAAAAAAUGACCCUUUUUCAUUUUAUUAUUUUAAAAUUGCAUUGACUAAACUGUAAAUAUUGAAUUUUAGAUUUGGUUAGCCAACCAAGAAGAUCGAAAAUCCAGCUAAUACUGUUAUCCGGCUGGCUUGUCAAAGAAAAAAAAAUUAAAUGAGUCAAUUAUUAUUUCAACAUAAUAUCGACAUUGCAAGCUUGACUUCACCAAUUUUAGCCUACAGUUGUAGUGAGAAUGCUUUGAAAUUCCUUUCUGGCUGCUCAGUAUGUCGACAUAUUAUCAACACUUUGCUAUUUUUCAAUCCCUGAGAUUCCCAUCCAAAUUUUCAACUAGCCAGUCCCUAAUUGCAGGCCACUUUUUAAUUCUGUGGUCAAAUUAAUUAUUUCGUCUAAUAAUUACCAUAAUUUUACAAAACAAGAAACAACCCAUGUACAGAAGUUUGAUUCUACUCGUAACUUGAUUCUUACGGAAUCGUGUCCUCAUUAUUUCUUCAAAGCUACUUUUGAGAUGAUCAUCGAACGCUAAAGCGAAUUAAACCUUAAUUGGUACUUAGCGUUUUAAUCCAAUCUCUUCUGUUUGUUCUAUUAAUUUCUUUUAUUUUGUUUUCUUAUUCUCUUUCAGUUUCACUCGAUGGGGUCGGUGCAUGGGUCACAAUGAUUUUAUGAUGCUCUAGAGAUCAACAAUCACGCGCUUUCACAUAAACUCUACGCUAUAAACAAUUUCCUCUCAAAUAUUUUCAUCAUACAAAAAUAAAAAUCGUGAUAUUGUUUUCAGAUUUCAGAUUCUUUAUCAUGAUCACUUCUCAUCGUCUUUUCAUCACUUUCUUUUGCAUUCUUCUAAUACUACUUCCCAACGUAGUACGAGGAGAAUGCACGUGCGAUCCUGAAGACGAGGAUCGAGACAAGACUCAAGCCUUAAAAUAUAAACUCGCCGCAAUCGCUUCGAUACUCGUGGCCGGAGCCAUCGGAGUUUUACUUCCCGUCCUCGGAAAAACUAUCCGGGCACUAAGUCCGGAGAGAAAUAUUUUCUUCCUAAUCAAGGCCUUUGCCGCCGGAGUUAUAUUAUCGACGGGGUUCAUCCACGUGCUUCCCGACGCCUUCGAGAACUUAACGUCGCCCUGCCUCGAUGAACAUCCAUGGGGGGAUUUUCCGUUCACCGGAUUCGCUGCCAUGGUUGCUGCUAUCGGGACUCUGAUGAUUGAUGCUUUUGCAACUUCUUAUGCGACUUCUUAUUAUCGCAAGUCUCACUUUGGUGAAGCGGAGAAUAACGCACCAGAUGAAGAGAAAGUUGGGGAGCAUGCAGGUCACGUGCAUGUUCAUACCCAUGCAACUGAUGGGCAUGCUCAUGGAUUUCUUGAAUAUUCCGGUGAAUCGGAGCUUCUACGACACCGUGUCAUAUCUCUGGUACAACUUAUUUAUUUAUUUUAAAUUUUCACGCAUAUCUAAAGGCGAUGGUGAUUUUUUUUUUUUUGUUUUUAUUUUUGAAGUUUCAUUAUGGUUAUUUUUUCCAUUAGGUUUUGGAGUUGGGAAUUCUUGUGCACUCGGUAAUAAUUGGAAUUUCAUUGGGAGCUUCUGAGAGUCCAAAAACCAUUAAGC